RNAcentral lists this ribosomal RNA (927 nucleotides) under Salmonella enterica. RNAcentral's name for it is "partial 23S ribosomal RNA". It matches the Rfam family "Bacterial large subunit ribosomal RNA", at positions 1278 to 2188 of the family's 2925-position model. The record is from RNAcentral. RNAcentral also lists the same sequence under 1 other name. Lineage: Bacteria; Pseudomonadati; Pseudomonadota; Gammaproteobacteria; Enterobacterales; Enterobacteriaceae.
GGUAUCAGAAGUGCGAAUGCUGACAUAAGUAACGAUAAAGCGGGUGAAAAGCCCGCUCGCCGGAAGACCAAGGGUUCCUGUCCAACGUUAAUCGGGGCAGGGUGAGUCGACCCCUAAGGCGAGGCCGAAAGGCGUAGUCGAUGGGAAACGGGUUAAUAUUCCCGUACUUGGUGUUACUGCGAAGGGGGGACGGAGAAGGCUAUGUUGGCCGGGCGACGGUUGUCCCGGUUUAAGCGUGUAGGUGUGUGUUCCAGGUAAAUCCGGUUCACUUUAACACUGAGGCGUGACGACGAGGCACUACGGUGCUGAAGCAACAAAUGCCCUGCUUCCAGGAAAAGCCUCUAAGCAUCAGGUAACAUCAAAUCGUACCCCAAACCGACACAGGUGGUCAGGUAGAGAAUACCAAGGCGCUUGAGAGAACUCGGGUGAAGGAACUAGGCAAAAUGGUGCCGUAACUUCGGGAGAAGGCACGCUGACACGUAGGUGAAGUGAUUUACUCAUGGAGCUGAAGUCAGUCGAAGAUACCAGCUGGCUGCAACUGUUUAUUAAAAACACAGCACUGUGCAAACACGAAAGUGGACGUAUACGGUGUGACGCCUGCCCGGUGCCGGAAGGUUAAUUGAUGGGGUCAGCGCAAGCGAAGCUCCUGAUCGAAGCCCCGGUAAACGGCGGCCGUAACUAUAACGGUCCUAAGGUAGCGAAAUUCCUUGUCGGGUAAGUUCCGACCUGCACGAAUGGCGUAAUGAUGGCCAGGCUGUCUCCACCCGAGACUCAGUGAAAUUGAACUCGCUGUGAAGAUGCAGUGUACCCGCGGCAAGACGGAAAGACCCCGUGAACCUUUACUAUAGCUUGACACUGAACAUUGAGCCUUGAUGUGUAGGAUAGGUGGGAGGCUUUGAAGCGUGGACGCCAGUCUGCGUGGAGCCG